RNAcentral lists this ribosomal RNA (373 nucleotides) under uncultured organism. Its description in RNAcentral is "bacterial SSU rRNA". It matches the Rfam family "Bacterial small subunit ribosomal RNA", at positions 526 to 896 of the family's 1533-position model. The record is from RNAcentral.
CAGAGGGGGCAAGGCGUUGUUCGGAAUUACUGGGCGUAAAGGGCGCGUAGGCGGCCUUCUAAGUCGAACGUGAAAUCCCCGGGCUCAACCCGGGAACUGCGUCCGAUACUGGAAGGCUUGAAUCCGGGAGAGGGAUGUGGAAUUCCAGGUGUAGCGGUGAAAUGCGUAGAUAUCUGGAGGAACACCGGUGGCGAAGGCGACAUCCUGGACCGGUAUUGACGCUGAGGCGCGAAAGCCAGGGGAGCAAACGGGAUUAGAUACCCCGGUAGUCCUGGCCCUAAACGAUGAAUGCUUGGUGUGGCGGGUAUCGAUCCCUGCCGUGCCGAAGCUAACGCAUUAAGCAUUCCGCCUGGGGAGUACGGUCGCAAGGCUG